This 252-nucleotide ribosomal RNA is filed under the name uncultured bacterium. RNAcentral describes it as "partial 16S ribosomal RNA". It matches the Rfam family "Bacterial small subunit ribosomal RNA", at positions 524 to 776 of the family's 1533-position model. The record is from RNAcentral.
UACGAAGGGGGCUAGCGUUGUUCGGAAUUACUGGGCGUAAAGGCUCGUAGGCGGCCAACUAAGUCAGACGUGAAAUCCCUCGGCUUAACCGGGGAACUGCGUCUGAUACUGGAUGGCUUGAGUUUGGGAGAGGGAUGCGGAAUUCCGGGUGUAGUGGUGGAAUGCGUAGAGAUCCGGAGGAACACCAGUGGCGAAGGCGGCUGCCUGGGCCUGGCCUGACGCUGAGGCGCGAAAGCGUGGGGAGCAAACAGG